Beta vulgaris subsp. vulgaris (sugar beet) is the source of this 558-nucleotide long non-coding RNA. RefSeq lists it as uncharacterized. Lineage: Eukaryota; Viridiplantae; Streptophyta; Magnoliopsida; Caryophyllales; Amaranthaceae. The transcript has 2 exons. The record is from RefSeq and is a predicted model, not a curated record.
UGUCGUUUGAUAUACUCUUUGAAAUCCAAAUGAUGUUAAUUAGAGAUGGAAUUGAUGUUGUGAGUUGGAUUAGUAGAAUGGGUUGUAUAUAAGAGUUGUGGUGGUUAGUUCAUGGAAGAGCUUAGAAAGUAUGAGUAAUUCAAUUUGUUUAUCUAAAUUGUUGUGAGGAUGGUUAAUGAUUGUUGGUAUUGUUUUGAGGUCGUUGUUGGAGUAUGUAUAUGGAGAUAAUUUAUGAAGUUCGAGCUAUAGUUGGUUAUCCAGAAUGUCGAAUUAUUGGGAAUCGUAUAAAGGGUUCAUUGUUAGUGAUUUUGCAGGGUUGAUGUCGAGGUCGUGGAAUAUGAUUAUUGAUCAAGAAGAAGAGUUUUAUGUUAUGAAAUGGUGGGCUGAGGUUAAAGUUAGAUGUUUUGUUUCAAAGUAUUCGUAAUCUGUUAUUUGAUUUUCAAGUUGUUAUAUUGUGGGCCCCUGACCCACAGAUUCAGGAUCGUUUUUAUAGGUUUAGUUUCCGCUGUAAAUAAAUGCAAAUUCGAGGUUUGUUAAGUGUUGAUUUUGUUUUGUGUA